RNAcentral lists this ribosomal RNA (382 nucleotides) under Helix dormitoris. Its description in RNAcentral is "partial large subunit ribosomal RNA". It matches the Rfam family "Bacterial large subunit ribosomal RNA", at positions 1852 to 2601 of the family's 2925-position model. Lineage: Eukaryota; Metazoa; Mollusca; Gastropoda; Stylommatophora; Helicidae. The record is from RNAcentral.
GUUAUUUCUGCUCAAUGAUUUUAAAUAGCCGCAGUACUCUGACUGUGCAAAGGUAGCAUAAUCAGUUGGCUUUUAAUUGGAGUCUGGCAUGAAUGAAAAUAUGGGUAGUAACUGUCUUAGCAUAUUAUUUGAACUUAUUAAACAAGUGCAAAUGCUUGUAUUUACACAAUAGACGAGAAGACCCUAGAAACUUGAAUUGAUUUUUGUUGGGGCGACAGAAUUACAUUUAACUAAUUUUUAUUACAUGACGCAAGGUUGAAAGAAUAAGUUACUCUAGGGAUAACAGCAUAAUUUUAGUAGUUUGUGACCUCGAUGUUGGACUAGGUAUUAUACCCUUUAGACAAGGGUAUACCAUGCUCUGUUCGAGCAAGAUUACCUACAU